Molecule: non-coding RNA, 1223 nt
Organism: Misgurnus anguillicaudatus (oriental weatherfish)
Lineage: Eukaryota; Metazoa; Chordata; Actinopteri; Cypriniformes; Cobitidae
Source: RefSeq, a predicted model, not a curated record
AUACUGACUUUGCUUGGGUGUAAUAAUUAACUUACCUGUAGUCCAGGAUGUCUUUCAGGUCGAGGAUUCACAUCUUUCUCAACAAGCAUCACAAUAGUGUGCACUGCAUGAAGGGCCUGUUCCUGUAGUACACAGAUACCACAGAAGAUAAACACAGUUUGUAGGCAUGUCCUCACCUGAACCAUGAGCAGAGAUUUAUAGAAGACAGAAGGUAGAGGAGAUUUCCUGCUGUCAAUCACAACAGAAUUAAAAAGAUCUUGUUUGGAAGAAAGUGAUUGAGGAGGUUGAACAAUCUGAGCAGAGCAGAACGCUUCUCGAUCCUGAUCAUCUGUUUCAUCUUCAUCCUUCAUCUCUUCAUGAGUCAGAUGGACUCCAGGAAUGAUCUUUGCUUUGAAAAUAAUGAUGUGCGCCGUUGAAGAGUAUUGCUGUGUGCUUUGACUUUUAUUUGAUAAAAGUGGAACUUUUAUGAAGGAUGAACUGGGAUCAGAGGAAUUUGUAAAGGAGAUUGAGAAGAAUUUGAAACAUCUGGAUUCAUCUAAUGCUUCUUGUAAAUAUCAUAUUUCAAGAAGCUCAUUCAGGACUCAUUCACGUCGUCUCAUUAGCUACAUGGAUUAAAGUCUCUUCCAGUACCAGUAGUCUUCACUUUAAUCUGAGGUUAAAUAUCUUUCAUGGUCCAUCAAGAAACACUUUGCUCUGCGUCAGUACUCGACUAAAGAGAAACAGCUUGCAGUCAAAAGAAUCAAAGUGUUUCCUAAUAAAACUGUCUUAGGACUUAAUCUCACCAUGAGGAGAAACUUGAGAGUCUUUGAGGACUUCAACUAAACCUGGUCUGAUGUCAUUCAAGAGAAAUCUCAAACGUGAGCAGAGUCUAAUGUAAUUCAGUUCUGAUAGCUGAUUGUAUGUUUAAUGUCUAAUCAUUUGCCAAUAUUCUGUAUUUUUCUUAGCAAUAUGCCGAUGUCAGACUCUUUUUGGUAUCAUUCAAGUGUUGAGUCUGAUUAUUGAGUCAGAAACAGAUGAGAAACAGAAACUACAUCACACAUGUUGAUUGUAAAGAGAAGGACACCUGCUGGUGAAUAUCAAUACUGCAGUGUUUACAGUAUAUACAUCAUCAUAUCAUACAUCAUGUAGUUAGUUAUCUGACUGGUUAAAAGCUUGGUUUUGGGUUUUUUUCUAUUGUAAACACAGCUUUGUAUACUGGACUUGUUGGCUCUUGAGGCCAAAUG